CAGCCGUAAACUAUGCGCGUUAGGUGUAUCGGUGACCACGAGUUACCGAGGUGCCGAAGGGAAACCGUGAAACGUGCCGCCUGGGAAGUACGGUCGCAAGGCUGAAACUUAAAGGAAUUGGCGGGGGAGGCACCACAACACGGUGGAGCCUGCGGUUUAAUUGGACUCAACGCCGGGAAGCUCACCGGAUAGGACAGCAGAAUGAUUGCCGGGCUGAAGACCCUGCAUGACUAGCUGAGAGGAGGUGCAUGGCGUCAGUGACU
This 263-nucleotide ribosomal RNA is filed under the name uncultured archaeon. RNAcentral's name for it is "partial 16S ribosomal RNA". It matches the Rfam family "Archaeal small subunit ribosomal RNA", at positions 748 to 1008 of the family's 1478-position model. The record is from RNAcentral.